Lagenorhynchus albirostris (white-beaked dolphin) is the source of this 843-nucleotide long non-coding RNA. RefSeq lists it as uncharacterized. The record is from RefSeq and is a predicted model, not a curated record. The transcript is spliced from 3 exons. NCBI's taxonomy places the organism in Eukaryota, Metazoa, Chordata, Mammalia, Artiodactyla, Delphinidae.
CAAACACAGCAUUUUGGGGUUUUUUCCACCCAAACCGUUGGGGGUAGGAGAGUGACUGCAAGGGGCAGCAGCAACAGCUAAAGGGAGAAAUGUGUCUAACCUCAGGGUUUUUUCCCCUAAUUUUUUCUGCUCCUGUUGUGACCACUUGCCUGCAAACAGCAAACCAGGAGCAAAUGACAGCCUCGUGAGAGCCAACAGCACAGCCCGCAGAGCCUGUUUCCCGGGGCCGCGGCCCAAGGUGGGAUUGUGUCCCAGACCCCACACCGCAGCCUCCAGCUGGCGAGGGCCACGCUGCCCAGGGCGAGGGUGACGUAACAUGCCCACUUCCAUGGGGUCUUCCACGUGACCCCCGGCCUUCGGGCUGGGAGGAAAUGAGGCUUGACGGGAAAGGACACCCAAGGUCACGCGAUGAGCUCCGGGCUUUCCGGCCUUACUCCAGUGACAAGAGGGAGGCUGAUAACAGGAGCUGCCUGGUCUCGAGCAGCCCUGCUUCCUGGGCUCUCUGUGCAUCGCCUCAUUUAAACUUCACACCAGCCCAGGGCGGAUUCUGUUGUAUGUGUAUCUCAUGGGCCUCAAACAUCUUUGUGCCACAGAUUGGAAUAAGAAAUACGCGACUGAGACUCCCAGAUGAGGAACAUGUAAGGUCCAUGAGGUGGCUGGAUCUGAGGACCAGGACCGGCCCCGCCUUCUUGCUCAGCCAUACCCCUCCCCACUAGUCGGGGAAGAGGGGCCCCUUCCCCGGGAACCAGGAGCACAGCUAAGCAAGAACACAGCUGCCCAUCCUGUGUGUCUGCUUGUCUCAACCCAUCCACCUACAUGAUGGGUACCACAAAGUUUACUCCC